RNAcentral lists this ribosomal RNA (494 nucleotides) under uncultured bacterium. Its description in RNAcentral is "partial 16S ribosomal RNA". It matches the Rfam family "Bacterial small subunit ribosomal RNA", at positions 28 to 507 of the family's 1533-position model. The record is from RNAcentral.
GACGAACGCUGGCGGCGUGCUUAACACAUGCAAGUCGAACGGAAAGGCCUGCUUUCCCUUGUGGAUUGCGGGUACUCGAGUGGCGAACGGGUGAGUAACACGUGAGUGAUCUGCCCCCAACUUGGGUAUAAGCAUGGGAAACUGGGUCUAAUUCCCGAUAGGACUGCAGGGUGGUGCCUGUGGUGGAAAACGAUUUUCUAGUGGUUGGGGAUGAGCUCGCGGCCUAUCAGCUUGUUGGUGGGGUAAUGGCCUACCAAGGCGGCGACGGGUAGCCGGCCUGAGAGGGUGGACGGCCACAUUGGGACUGAGAUACGGCCCAGACUCCUACGGGAGGCAGCAGUGGGGAAUAUUGCACAAUGGGCGGAAGCCUGAUGCAGCGACGCCGCGUGGGGGAUGACGGCCUUCGGGUUGUAAACUCCUUUCGACCGCGAGGAAGCCACCUGGUUGGAAGGGUGGUGACGGUAGUGGUAGAAGAAGCACCGGCUAACUACGUG